This 353-nucleotide unclassified non-coding RNA is filed under the name soil metagenome. RNAcentral describes it as "partial contains 5.8S ribosomal RNA, internal transcribed spacer 2, and large subunit ribosomal RNA". The stretch from base 1 to 120 matches the Rfam family "5.8S ribosomal RNA", at positions 35 to 154 of the family's 154-position model. The record is from RNAcentral.
GAUGAAGAACGUAGCGAAAUGCGAUAAGUAAUGUGAAUUGCAGAAUUCAGUGAAUCAUCGAAUCUUUGAACGCACAUUGCGCCCGCCAGUAUUCUGGCGGGCAUGCCUGUUCGAGCGUCAUUACAACCCUCAGGCCCCCGGGCCUGGCGUUGGGGAUCGGCGGAAGCCCCCUGCGGGCACAACGCCGUCCCCCAAAUACAGUGGCGGUCCCGCCGCAGCUUCCAUUGCGUAGUAGCUAACACCUCGCAACUGGAGAGCGGCGCGGCCACGCCGUAAAACACCCAACUUCUGAAUGUUGACCUCGAAUCAGGUAGGAAUACCCGCUGAACUUAAGCAUAUCAAUAGGCGGAGGA